UUGAUUGUUCGUCGAAGAAAAAUAGAAAACUGAAAGAGAAAGAAAAAAGUGUGGGGGCUUCUCGGGGUUCGGAAGAAGAAAAAAGAAUGAAAGGUUUUUCAUAGCUUUUUCGUUCGUGCCUUUGAGGAAAAUCUGCUGAAGGAAAAGUCAGAAAAAGUGUACAGAAAGAGAGCAGAGAGAAGUGACGUGAGGGAGAGAGAAAAAAAAAAACAAAGGAAAAAGUUGACAAGACCCCUACUGUUCACCUUCUUCCCCAUUUCGCUUCUGCUCUACACGGUGUUGCUGCUCGUCCGCCACCACACCACCAUCGUGCGAUCAACGCCGUUUGAAGCCCGACGACUGCCCGCUCCACCGCACCUCUGCACCAGCGAGCUCGCCCCGACGCCGACGCCCUUGCUCCGUCUCUGCCCAAGGCGAACUGCUGUUGCUCGAACGCCGCCCCUGCCCGCGUCUCUGUCUACGGCGACCAUUCAACGCUUGCAACCGUCGACGCCCGUACCAGCAGCCUGCGCAGCUACCGCCACCUCGCCGGACUCACCCCGACGCUGUCCCCGAUCUUGCCUCCGAGCGCCAUCGCAUCUGAAAGCCUGCGCCGGUCCGCGAAGUCGCUGCUGCUCGCGACCCAGGAGGCCGACGCCAGCCCUCGCCACUCCAUCCGUGUCGUCCCCGAUCGGCCUGUCAAAUCCCCCUCGCUGGUGACUUCCGCCCGCGACGCACCAGCCGCCCGAGCCGCCAGCCAGCAUCGGACUGACGCCACGAACACCCGGCGCCGCGCCUCAGCCCAUCUGUCUACCACUACAAUGCUUCAGUAGCCCGUGCCGCGCCUCACCGCCGCCGCUACCACAGCUCGCGUCCCCGCCGUCGCCGAGUUCAGCCCGUCGCUCACCACCGCGUUGGAGCCUCUUCCUCAGUUGAAGCCGCAUCCUCACCUCUGCAACAACCAACGCCGGCUCCACGCCCAAACAGAACCAUCUGCUGCCUUUUCUGUUUUGCUGCAGGUCUGGUUACUGCCGAACCUCGCCGGAGCUCCGACGACCACCCAAGCUCCGGUCACCAGGACCCAUCACCCUUGGCGAGCCACCAUCGCAGUUCAGCCAUUACUGCUUCCUCGCCAUUUCUUCAAGUCCAC
Molecule: long non-coding RNA, 1129 nt
Filed under: Eucalyptus grandis
Lineage: Eukaryota; Viridiplantae; Streptophyta; Magnoliopsida; Myrtales; Myrtaceae
Description: long non-coding RNA (EGRA_LNC007482)
Source: RNAcentral